RNAcentral lists this ribosomal RNA (497 nucleotides) under uncultured bacterium. RNAcentral describes it as "partial 16S ribosomal RNA". It matches the Rfam family "Bacterial small subunit ribosomal RNA", at positions 28 to 507 of the family's 1533-position model. The record is from RNAcentral.
GAUGAACGCUGGCGGCGUGCCUAAUACAUGCAAGUCGAGCGAACAGACGAGAAGCUUGCUUCUCUGAUGUUAGCGGCGGACGGGUGAGUAACACGUGGAUAACCUACCUAUAAGACUGGGAUAACUUCGGGAAACCGGAGCUAAUACCGGAUGAUAUUUUGAACCGCAUGGUUCAAAAGUGAAAGACGGUCUUGCUGUCACUUAUAGAUGGAUCCGCGCUGCAUUAGCUAGUUGGUAAGGUAACGGCUUACCAAGGCAACGAUGCAUAGCCGACCUGAGAGGGUGAUCGGCCACACUGGAACUGAGACACGGUCCAGACUCCUACGGGAGGCAGCAGUAGGGAAUCUUCCGCAAUGGGCGAAAGCCUGACGGAGCAACGCCGCGUGAGUGAUGAAGGUCUUCGGAUCGUAAAACUCUGUUAUUAGGGAAGAACAUAUGUGUAAGUAACUGUGCACAUCCUGACGGUACCUAAUCAGAAAGCCACGGCUAACUACGUG